GAAAAUCCGUUGGCUUUAUUGACCGUGAGGGUUCAAGUCCCUCUAUCCCUA
Molecule: transfer RNA, 51 nt
Filed under: Calomnion brownseyi
Lineage: Eukaryota; Viridiplantae; Streptophyta; Bryopsida; Rhizogoniales; Calomniaceae
Description: partial tRNA-Leu
Source: RNAcentral